Transfer RNA from Clostridium sp. CAG:448, 73 nucleotides. It matches the Rfam family "tRNA". Rfam says of the family: Transfer RNA (tRNA) molecules are approximately 80 nucleotides in length. Their secondary structure includes four short double-helical elements and three loops (D, anti-codon, and T loops). Further hydrogen bonds mediate the characteristic L-shaped molecular structure. tRNAs have two regions of fundamental functional importance: the anti-codon, which is responsible for specific mRNA codon recognition, and the 3' end, to which the tRNAs corresponding amino acid is attached (by aminoacyl-tRNA synthetases). tRNAs cope with the degeneracy of the genetic code in two manners: having more than one tRNA (with a specific anti-codon) for a particular amino acid; and 'wobble' base-pairing, i.e. permitting non-standard base-pairing at the 3rd anti-codon position. The record is from Rfam. Lineage: Bacteria; Bacillati; Bacillota; Clostridia; Eubacteriales; Clostridiaceae.
GGGAGCAUAGCUCAGCUGGGAGAGCAUCUGCCUUACAAGCAGAGGGUCAUAGGUUCGAGUCCUAUUGUUCCCA